RNAcentral lists this ribosomal RNA (497 nucleotides) under uncultured bacterium. RNAcentral describes it as "partial 16S ribosomal RNA". It matches the Rfam family "Bacterial small subunit ribosomal RNA", at positions 28 to 507 of the family's 1533-position model. The record is from RNAcentral.
GAUGAACGCUGGCGGCGUGCCUAAUACAUGCAAGUCGAGCGAACAGAUAAGGAGCUUGCUCCUUUGACGUUAGCGGCGGACGGGUGAGUAACACGUGGGUAACCUACCUAUAAGACUGGGAUAACUUCGGGAAACCGGAGCUAAUACCGGAUAAUAUUUCGAACCGCAUGGUUCGAUAGUGAAAGAUGGUUUUGCUAUCACUUAUAGAUGGACCCGCGCCGUAUUAGCUAGUUGGUAAGGUAACGGCUUACCAAGGCGACGAUACGUAGCCGACCUGAGAGGGUGAUCGGCCACACUGGAACUGAGACACGGUCCAGACUCCUACGGGAGGCAGCAGUAGGGAAUAUUCCGCAAUGGGCGAAAGCCUGACGGAGCAACGCCGCGUGAGUGAUGAAGGUCUUCGGAUCGUAAAACUCUGUUAUCAGGGAAGAACAUACGUGUAAGUAACUGUGCACGUCUUGACGGUACCUAAUCAGAAAGCCACGGCUAACUACGUG